Macaca mulatta (Rhesus monkey) is the source of this 3792-nucleotide long non-coding RNA. RefSeq lists it as uncharacterized. The record is from RefSeq and is a predicted model, not a curated record. Lineage: Eukaryota; Metazoa; Chordata; Mammalia; Primates; Cercopithecidae.
UGACACUUCCACCUCAGCCUCCCAAAGGGCUGGGAUUACAGGUAAAUAUCUAAAUUAUCUGUAGCAACAACUUGGUGGGGUCAACUCCAAUGUUUUUGUCGGCUGUUCUUGAAGACUGCUGGGUCUCUACAAUCACAUUCUUUGGCUGGUGCCAGUGUUUAAGCACUCUGAAACUGCAUAGCAGCAUGUUUGAAGGCCGCCUGUCAAAUUUGGGAAGCUGACAUGUGACUGAGCUAGUCACGGGGGUCUUCACAGAAAAGGCAGUCUGGAUCCUGGUCGACUGGAGAUUCCAUCUGAAUGAGUGGAGUCAUUAAGACUAGAGCUCCAGGCUUCUUCAUUCAACCCCAAGGAUUCCCAGCAACAUGUGAAGUCCUCUAUCUGUCACUAAGAAGCUAUGCCAUCCAUCCUUCCCCAGAGAGCAUUACUGAGCAUUCAGUGUCAACGUAGCAUAUUCAGUAGCAGUUUAUCCCAGACACACAUCCGUGGAGAGGAGGGAGCUACACGCUUUCCUGAUCAUCUGGUUUCAUAUGAAGACAAAGGUUAAAGUAGGACAGACGAGUGAUACUCUACCAAAGAUUAAUUCCUGGCCAGAAAUACAGCCACAAGAGCUGGUGUGAGAGAAAGAUGAUGAAAAGGUGAGAAGAAAACACCUUGGUAGCUGCUGGAUCAAGGCAAAUGAGAGACACAUGGAGGUCACCUAGAUCCAACUCUACAGCUUGGAGCUAAGCCUAACUUAGCCAAGUCUAAGUUUGACCUCAGCCAAUUCAUAGAUGUUUGAGCCAGAAGUAAGGUGCUUUUGUUGCUGGAAGCCAGUUACAUUUUGAGAUCUUUUUGAAAAAAUAUAUUGUCAUUGCAGACAUAGCUACACAUAGUUUUCCACGCUCUGGGAAGUCAAAUUAAGCAUGCUUAGACUUUUAGAACAGAAGUCCAUUAUUAGUAUGGUGGCAAAAAUGUUACAAGUGACAUAGUCCUCUAAUUUCCUUCUAGUCCUCUGCCUAAGAACUAGAGUACUUCAUUUUGAAGUGGAGCCCUAAUGGGAGUGUUCAUCUUCUGUCACCAGGGUUAAGGCUCUUGAUGCUUACUACUAGACACUCACAGUUGUUAGUUCCCUGGAAGACGUGAAAGAGCUUGGUUGGCUCUGGAGUUGUCAGUCAAUAACCAACUGUAACAGACCUACCCUUCCAACAAAAUCUUGAUUCAGGAAAUUGAGUGUCUGCUUAUAGUUAAUCCUCUAUUUUUUGACACCUAAUAGGAGAAACAUUUUCAAAAGAUCAAUGACCUGACUCAGUUAAUGUGCAAGGAAAAAUAAGCAGUUCCAAACUUGUCAGUUUAUCCGUCAUCCCUUAUCCAAAAUCCUUCAACUCUCUUGGAAUUAUUUUGUUCUCCAUACUUACCCAACAAAUAUCUUACUUUUGUCUUGGACUUUCUUUUAUAGUUAUCUCACAUAAGCUCCUUGUGACUAAGGGCACAUAUUUGGAAUCAGACUACUCAAGUUCAACUCUUGGGUCUACCAUUUAUUAGCCUGUAUUACUUUGGGCAAGAUAAUUAAAUUCUCCAGGUCUAACUUCUCCCAUUAUAAAAUAAUAAUAGUUAUUACCUGCUAGGAUUGUCUUGAGAAGUAAAUGAGAUAAUUCAUAAGAACCCUUUAGCACAGUGCCAGCCACAUAAUGAAGGCAUAGUAAGGGAAAGUUAUUAUGCUGCUGAUAAUACUUGUCUAGGCAGGGCUCUCAUAUUUUUCUCUGGAUCCCUUACUGUACAAUUCAUCUGUCCAAUGACAUGCUAAGAUUGUUUUAGAGUGAGUUGCUUCAGAGUUGAAUAAUUCUAACAGUAUAUUCUCACGUUUGGAAACAACUUGGAAUUCCAUUUAGUGUAGACAUCAACAAUGAAAUCUCUAGAGGAUUAGUAAUUUCUACAGUUUUUAUUCAUUAUAGAGACACCAAUGAAAAGAACUGGGUAGAAGGUCAGGAGGUCAAAGAGAUUGAGUUUAAACCCUCACUAUGCUGAGUACUGUUAAUAAUGGUAUGAUCUUAAGAGAUCUAAUCUUUAGUUUUUCCCACCUAAAAAACAGAGUUGUCAUGAGUAUUUAAUAAUAGAGGGUAGUACGUAAACUUCCUAGCAUAUAGCAACUGCUUAAUAAAUAUAAGUUACAGUUUUUUCUAAAUUUGCCAAAGAGCCAAGGGAAAAAAUGAAGAUUUUGUAGCCAAAACCAUUUCUCUUUCUCUGUUAUGUGCCUUUCUGUUCCAGAAACAGAAUUAAUUCCCUGAACCUCAUUAAAGGAAGGAUUUGAACAUUUUUAAAAAAGUCAAUCUCUUUGGGUUUGUUAUUGCUUGUUUCCCAUACCUCAGAGACACAAAUACAAACCUUUAUAAUGUCAUCAGGAAGAAGGGGAGGUCAAACACUCCUUAACUCAAUAAUUGUAAGGUUAUUAUUUUGCAAGGAAUAGAGUCAAAAUUCCAUUCAUGUGAGGACUGUAACUUCUUCAUUACUCCUUCAGGCAAGAUGUCCUUGAUUUUAAGUAGCUCAUGUAGAAACUAGUUAUAAGUCUUUAAUAGAGAGACUGUACUGGAAUUAUAGGAUAUACUUAGGGAUUUGAGCUUCCCCACCCACUUGCUUUAGAGUGACAGUUCACACCUAUAAAAACACAAAAGUCCAAGGGUUUAUUAAACAUUAGAAGACCCAAAAAGCCAAGACUUCUGCCCGUAAAAGUGAUGCUUCCUAAGGGGAAGAAAUGGAAUUUCUCAGAGAAUACAACUUGGCUUGAACAAUGGACUGUACAAGGAAGAUUAGGAGGUAACUACUGGGGUAAAAGAGAGAUGGUUGCAUCUUUCUGGAACACUCUAAUAAAACUGUAAGUUUUUCCUGAUUUCUUCUUUUAUGUGAUAAAAGGGUCAAAUUUGAUACAUAAAGUCAUAAUGUCCCACAUGUACUGCUCAGGAACAUCUGUUUAGUCCUACUACAAAACUUGGGGAACAUGGUUUCCUAAUGCGGUACCAGUCCUCUCUUCAUGGAUUACUUGGGAAAGAAAUUCUGACUGGCAGACUCCACAAGUAUAAGACAGUAAGAGGCCAAUUUCUUUAUUCCUCUCCUCUUCUCCACUUGUCCUCCCACCUCAGCUUUGGGAGAAUAACAAAGUGUGGAAUAGAAAUAAAGGAGCCUUGUUGUAUUUCAUUGGCCUCAAGAGGUCUCAUCUAUUAAAGAGAUCCAUUAUGUUACUCUCAGAGAAAAUUAUAGUCAAAAAUAUUUCAAGUUUUAGGGAAAUACUGAAUAUAUAAGGAUUCUGUUACUUAAUCUCUGUGCUCUUAUCUUGGGAUGGCAAAGCUCAGUGAGGCUAUCUUGAAAGUAGCCUGAAAUCAAUUGAUCAGAUGCUACUUGGCAGGAGGAGCCCACCAGGAGGAUCAAGGACAUGGGUGACACAGUGAGUGUAAUUAGUCGUCAAUAUAGGCUAGGUUAGGUGUUAGUGGCAAAUUAUCUCCAAAUCUCAGUGGCUUAGUACAAUAAAGGCUUAUUGCUGAUUCAUGCAGCAUGUAUACUGCAGGUCCAAAAAGGCUCUGUUUCACUCACAGAUCCAGAUUGUAACAUUAUUUGCCAUCUCAUAGCUACAUGAUCUAAACAUCAGUAGAAGGAAGGUGUCGUGGGUCAGGCUACCUGGAAAACAGAUCAAGAUAAAGAUUUCUGUGCAGAAAGGUUAUUGGGGAGGGAAUUCUGAUUGACAUCUGCCAGGGAGAGCGCAAAAAUGGUUGAGCAAACAAUUGUUGAACUAUGUUGUAACAACAAAGGUCUUGGCCAAUCUAA